GAGGACCACCAUGACAUUCCUAUGACACCUGAUCUUGCCUGAUUUCAGAAGCUAAGCAGGGAUAAGUCUGGUCGGCAUUUGGGUGAGAGAUCACAAGGCAAUAGCAGGGAUCUCC
This 115-nucleotide ribosomal RNA is filed under the name Pogona vitticeps (central bearded dragon). Lineage: Eukaryota; Metazoa; Chordata; Lepidosauria; Squamata; Agamidae. The record is from RNAcentral.